UACAGAGGUCUCAAGCGUCGUUCGGAUUCAUUGGGCGUAAAGGGUGCGUAGGUGGCGUGGUAAGUCGGGUGUGAAAUUUCGGAGCUUAACUCCGAAACUGCAUUCGAUACGGGCAGGCUAGAGUUCGGUAGGGGAGACUGGAAUUCCUGGUGUAGCGGUGAAAUGCGCAGAUAUCAGGAGGAACACCGAUGGGGAAGGCAGGGCUCUGGGCCGAUACUGGCGCUGAGGAGCGAAAGCGUGGGGAGCGAACAGG
This 253-nucleotide ribosomal RNA is filed under the name uncultured bacterium. RNAcentral describes it as "partial 16S ribosomal RNA". It matches the Rfam family "Bacterial small subunit ribosomal RNA", at positions 524 to 776 of the family's 1533-position model. The record is from RNAcentral.